This 514-nucleotide ribosomal RNA is filed under the name uncultured bacterium. RNAcentral describes it as "bacterial SSU rRNA". It matches the Rfam family "Bacterial small subunit ribosomal RNA", at positions 32 to 518 of the family's 1533-position model. The record is from RNAcentral.
ACGACGCUGGCGGCGUGCCUAAUACAUGCAAGUCGAACGGUCUUUCUAUGAGCUUGCUUCCACUGAGAAGAUAGUGGCGAACGGGUGAGGUAACACGUGGGUAACCUGCCCAUAAGAGGGGGAUAACAUCCGGAAACGGGUGCUAAUACCGCAUAGUUUUCUUGAUUGCAUGAUUGAGAAAGGAAAGACGGCCUUUGUGCUGUCGCUUAUGGAUGGACCCGCGGCGUAUUAGUUAGUUGGUGAGGUAACGGCUCACCAAGACGAUGAUACGUAGCCGACCUGAGAGGGUGAUCGGCCACAUUGGGACUGAGACACGGCCCAAACUCCUACGGGAGGCAGCAGUAGGGAAUCUUCCGCAAUGGACGAAAGUCUGACGGAGCAACGCCGCGUGAGUGAAAGAAGGUUUUCGGAUCGUAAAACUCUGUUGUCAGAGAAGAACAAGUUGGAGAGUAACUGCUCCAGCCUUGACGGUAUCUGACCAGAAAGCCACGGCUAACUACGUGCCAGCCGCCGC